CGGCAGCGGCGGCACCCGCUCCGAAGCGCGACGGCGAGGGUGGAAGCGGGGUAGCGGAGGGGAAGGGAGGUGAGUUUGGCGGGGCGGGAGGGCGGGCGGCCCCCGCGCCUCCCCCGCGGCGGCGGUAGCAGCGAUGCGAUCGGGCAUCACUCGAAAAUGGCGCCGAAAGAGCGGAGGGCUCUUCAUUCAAAUUCGUUAGCGCCAGCCCCGCCGCCCCGGGGCAUGCCGGGAACGGGGGGGGGCGCGCGCGGGGGCUGAGGCGGCAGCGCCGCACGGACACGGCGCUCGCUGUCAAUGCCGCCCCUCCCCCCGCCGCCCGCGCGCGCGCUCCACGCCCUCCCCGCUCCCCGCGCGCUCCCGACCCAACCGCCGCUAAUGGGGAAAGGGGGGGUGGGGGGGGGAAGAGAGGGAAAGAGGGAGGGAGAGAGAGAGAGAGGGAAAUGUCACCCGGAGCCCGGGCCCGCGGGGGAGAGGUGGCGCGUUAGAGAUGUGUGUGGGAGAGAGGGAGAGAGGGAGCGAGAGAGAGAGAGAGAGAGAGAGAGAGAGGGGGAGCGAGACCUCCGCUGGCCCCGCGAACUUGUCAAGUACAAAACACCAAGCUUUUGGGCUCAAAAAGCCUAGACCAUCAUGGCUACGAAAACUAUUGCUGCUCAGCUGCUCAGAGAAUAUGUAAUUCUGGAGCUCCUUAAGGAAAAAAGUAGUGCGAUGCAACAUCAGAACAGUGGCCAAGUGAUCUUCUCCACAGAGCCAUGAACUUCAAACUUGAACCAAAGAAGACUCAUCAAAUGCCUUAGGAAAGACAGUAUGGAGUUGGAAGAGAAGCACAGAUCUCCAUGAAGGGUAAUCACUUAUAGCCAUGGUCGGCAUGCUCGGUUGGUCUGCCAGUCGACACGUGUAGCUCAGACCUGGCCACAAUGUGAGCUGCCUUCUGUUCUCCUAAACAUCAGAGGCUGAAAUUUAGAGAUAUCUGUUUAGAAGGGAAUGGGAAAACAGCCAGGCUAGCUUUGGCACAAGUGUGUUGGUGGCACCUGUAAGCAUGCAGGUGUGUGGAGGAACAGGUCCUGUUCUCGCUGUUGUUACUCCCACGUAGGCAGACUCUGUAAUUGAUUAUGUGUGGGUAGGGCCCUAUUGAAAUUCAGGAGAUUCUGCAGUAGUGCGGGGUUCUUUUUGUGAAAGUUCAGUUGCAAGAUCAGGACCCUACUGUGACUCCUUACUGUGCAUUCUGUCACUGUCUCAUUGAUUGUACUGGAACCUGCCUGUUGGGAUAAUUACCAAAUACUAUAUUCCUCAAAACUUCUUAAUGGCACUGAGGCUUUGUGGAUAGUUGGUCACAUGAUGAGAAAAUUCAGCUACUGCUGGAGUUCAUGAUUCCUGAGAAGUAACACCUUGAAGUUCUGGCACUAUCUUCUACAAAGUAACUUACACUGAGCUGUCUUCCUGUUACUGUGUCAAUGAAACAUCAAAUGUUGAUACUAUGUGUGAAACAACAUUUGAUAUUGUGGCUAUUAAGCUACUUGAAAAAAUACUACACAGACGGAUUUUGUGUUUACAAGACCUGGCAUUUAAAAAUCUAUGUCAUGGAUGCAGCUGCCAUCCUUUCUGAAGCUUUUCACUUGCUACCUCUCUGACAAUCCUACUUUCCAUGUUGAAAGUAUUGUCCUAACUUGUGAUGUGGAAGAUUGCUGGCCCUUCCUUUGAUGCUGAUACCAGUAUUUUCUUGACUGAUAGUAUUGUAAUGAAGACAUAGAAAAAGAAGACUAUGGCACUCAUGAAUUUUUUUAUGGUUUGAGUAGUCAAAAAAUAUUGUUCUUCUGCCUUCAUAUAAAAUGUGUUGGUUUCCCAAUGUACUUGUAACUUAAAGAUGUUUGUAGAAAUGUAAAAUUAAAUGUGAAGAGUAUAAAAUCCAUAUUAAAGACAUAAAAAUUUAAUAAAAUACAGCAUUAGUCUUUAUUUUAACAACUGAGUCCCACAUGGCUCACUUGCAAAAUGUGGGGUAGACUUACAAAGUUGUGUACUGGUACAGUCCAGCUUAUUAAAAGGUGAAAUUUCUUUUUCUGUUCAGUAAUUAUUAAAAGGUCAACUUAUUUUCUUUCUCCCUCUAGUAAUAUUUUCUUGUUAUACCUGUUAAAGAUCUCUCCUCUUGAGUUCUGUCUUCUCCCCUUUUUUUUUUUUUUGUUCCUUUUAUUAACCUAAGUUUGUGGUUCCUUUCUACCUUGGUCUCUCCUAACUCUUUUGGUCCAAUACUGAUCCCUUUUUUCUCAUAUGUUUGCAUCCAUUUGCCUGGAAUAUUGCCUUGAGCAUGAACAUAUGUACCCAAGAAUAUAUUUACUUUUAAAUGCUGGAUGGAUCUGCUAUUUUAGGACUUCCAGUUAAGCAGAGAAGAAACUUAACAAUUCAUGACAGUGUUUUAGCUUUUUUUAUGAUACAUAUGCCUUCAGAGGAUCAAAGUACCUUGCUUCCAACAUCAAUGGAAUAGUAACUAUAGACAGAGAUAAAUAUUCCUGUAAAAAUAAAGACUUAUGGUACUUCUUCAAUACAGGAAUGUUAACUUAAAAAGAGCAUGAAUGAAACCAUGCUGUGUUCAUAAAUGGUAUGGCAAACAUUUUCAGUUUUGUUUGCAUAUAAAGAAAAAUGCUAUUGGAGCGAGUGCUUUGUACUGAUAGCAAUAUAAGGAGAUAGAAUUUUUUGAAAAAGACAACUAAAAGGUAUACAUACAUAAAAUCAGGAGAAUUUUUGAAAAUCAUGUUCUGCUGUAGCAUAAAUACUGAAUAAUAGUUAAUGGUUUUUAUGGGAUAGAUACGUACAUAUUUUAUUAGGUAUACUAAAUGUUCUUUAGAUAAUCUAAAUUAUUUGGAUUGCAGUAAAACGAAUGUCAUGAUGAAACAUAAGCAGUAUGUUCAGAACUUUUACUUUUUAUGUGUAAAAUAUAGGCAAAAAUAAUGGCACUAAUAAUAGCAAUAUACUAAAAAAUUAUUGGAGGUGUGAGUGAGAGUCAUUUAUGGUGGCCAGAAGUUUUUAACUAGUGUAGGUACCUGCAGGACUUUGCAUAAUUUGGAGGCCCUUAACAAAACACCUUUGCCAGAUGUGUGUACUGAGCAUGAGGAUGAUAUUACAAUGAUUACAAAGCAGAGGAAAUUCAGAAUCUCUAAAGUAAUUACACCAAUGAGCAGUAAAUUUUUGCUAAAAUUAAGUUGCAUUGACUGCAACAAAGUUUAUAAAAAAAAACUAUAUUAAAAUUAUCCAUAGAAAGCAAAAGAAUAUUAAAACCCAUGUAAAACUUGAUGGGGCUUUCUGCAGUAUACCCUCAAAUGAUGCAAAUUGACAGCAUACAUAUAAGUCACUACUGCUUUGCUGAAGAUUUGUCCUUUCUAUUAACAAUAUAAGGCAAUACAGAUCCCGAAAUAAUCUGUGACUUAAUACUCAUAUUUAUUUCACAGCAGAGUUUCUAUGGACAAAGGCCUUGCUCAUCAUGAAAAAUAACACAGAUCUAACAAUGGCAUAUUAUUGUUAGAAGGAAGUACACCUGACUUAGCACAGUUUUAGAAAACUAGUUUUGAGAGUACUGUAUUGGUGUAGCUUAAGUCACAAAACUACUGCUUUUUUGAUAAUACUACUAAUGUAAAAUUCAGACUUGCAGUUUGAUUAUAAGAUUAUUUUUACACUCAAUUUUGUGUAUUUUUGAUUUGCAAUUUUUAAAUUAUAAAAUCGGUUAAAUGUCUUUAUUUUUAAAUCUGUUAGGAACAGUAAGGAAAGCAUAGCUGAAAAUACUAACAAAACAGGAAAGAUAUUUCAGCAAAUGAGUAAGUGUAACAACUGGGAAAUGUUUGCCAGCGGAGAAUAAAGUUGAGUGAAUUGCUACAUUAAGACGUGAAAACAUAAUCUAUAAAGUCCUGUGGGAAAUAAUAAUGAAAAAAUAGAUCUUUCUGUUCAUAAAUAUAGCUUAGGUACAGGUGGUCUUGAGAGAUGCAAAGCCACUACAAAUUCCAAGAAUCUUUCUUUGACUACAUUAGAAACAGGCCUGGCUGAGACAUAAAUACAAUAUAACUACAUGUAGCUACAUAAAGAAUAUAAGGUGAGGGAAACAUAAUCUAUAAAACAAUCACCCUGCUUGCAGAUUCUGCAGAUCACAUGGCUGGCAGACACAGAAAUCAUUUCACAAAUGAAAAAGGAAGAAGCAAAAUCCAUGAAGAUUGUAUUGAAGGUUUGAUUCAUUUGACUUUCUCUAGGCUCACGAGGGUCUCCAUGAUUAUCAUAUAUGUAUAUAUAUACAGAUGUAUUCUAUUCAUGUUAUACAUACAUAUAUUGCUAUCCAUAUGGAAAUGUAUGAAAAGCUGUAAAAGAGAAAUUUGAGUUCCGUGCAAGAGGUACUUCGAAAUAGGUCACAGGACUUUUGUAUGGUACUUAAAACAACUGGAAGAAGUAACGAGAGUUACUCCAGUACUGGAUCUGAUAGUGAUCAGGAAAAAAGGAGAUAUCAGACCUAACAUUAAGACUUUAUGACUGUACAAUACUUCUAGUUUAAUAAAAAGACCAGAAAAAGCAUAAAUGUACUGUGAUAAUCACUGGCAGAAAGACUGAGAGAAUGAUUUUGAAGAAUAACAGCAAAAAGCUGGUUCAGAGUAUCAUUGCAAUAGAAUAAGAGAGAUUCCACUGUAAAAAAUGUUUAGUGAAGUAUAAAGUUGGAGAAAAGGAAAUGGAACUGGAAAAGAGAACUUUAAACUUGCCAUCACGCAAAGAAAGAACAGAAAGAGCUCAGAUCAUGUGAUACUAUCUAAGAAAGCCUAAUUAUCCACUUAAUUAGUAUAAUUUUGGUAAUAUAUUCUGAAAGUAUGUGAAAAUCUUAAAAGAAUACAAGAAAGCAGUUUUUUUCAAGUUUCUUGAGCAGUUUUUUUUUUUCCUCACAGAGUAAUACUGAAUAAAAGGAAGUCUUAAGACCACUGCCUAUGAAUUGGAUAAUUUAUUUGAAAAGAUAGUUGAAGAAACAGUGAACAAUGAUCAAUGAUGUUAAUUGAAAAUAUAGAAAAGUGUCUGAAAAUAUGAAGGGUUCCAGAUUCUGUACCCUUGUUCUGCUCACUGGAGGUAGCACAAGGUAGCCAAAAUCCAUUCCUAUCAGAGACUGAGAAUUUGCCUGCUCUGGGGAAGUCACAGUCAGCCUAACGCUGGCCUGUCCUUCACCCAUACCCACAGCUCAGUCCUCUGUGCAGGUUUGAGACUAGCAUCAUAUGAAGGUAUCUCUCUACCUGUUUUUGGCUGCAUUUAAUUUCUUACGUCACAUAGAACAGAAAAUGCACCACAGCCCAGUCAAGAGCCAGUAGCAAACUACAGCUCACGUUUGCCUGGCUAACCCACCAGCUCUCCUGAGCCAGGGUAGCCUCAUUUGUACUGCCUAUUAGGAGAUUCCCUAACCCAUGCUAUUCCUCAAAUCCAAAAAUCCUCAGUAUUUUACCUGAGUGCUUGCUGGCCUCAGCCAAAAGCAUACCAAAGAGCAGGCUAACAGGUAAAGGGUGUGGAUUAUCACAUGAUAGAACUCAAGUAUGUGCCUGAGCCCUCUUCAGCUCAGUAACACAGAUGUAACCUUAGGAACUACGUCCAGUUGACAAUAAUUACAACUGUACUGGCUUGUUCUAAAUGAAAAAUACAAUGGCAUGAAAACCAGUAGUCUUACAGACUACUACUUCUUGACAAGAAAUCCGAAAAAUCUGAAAAAUUGGCAAUUUAAGAAAGUCAGUGGACAACAGAAGGGAAAACAGUACUUAUCUGAUGAGGAAGUAUUUUAACAUGGAAACUUGAAAGCCAGUUAAAUGACUGAAUGUUCUUUUCAAGAUAAGAAAGGUUACAAUAAAGAACUCAGCAUAGGGCCAUUUGGGUAAAUAGAUUUCCUUCACUAUUAAAAUACAGUUUGGGCCCCAUCUACCUUGUAGGAUAAAAGCCUGAAAUGUGCUUGUGGUGUUUUAUUUUGAGACUUUUGAGAAGGAGCUGAUGCUGAAGUGGGCAUGUUUCAAUAUAAAAGAGUCACCUCAUCACGGACAAGAUGGGAUAAGAGGUCUACUGAAUAUUUAUACAUUUUUCAAAAAAAUUAUAUGCAGUAAUGUCUUGGAAUGAGUGCAAUCUCUGUAUUGGACAGGUGUUCAGUAUGUGAUAUAAUUACCAUUAGGUUCCAGGUGACCUUUUGACCUGUGAGGUCACUAGUUAUUUCCACAGUAAUUUCUAAUUUUACAGGUUGUAGAAAACUAUGUGCAGGAAAAACUGCAUAAAAAGGGAAAAUGCAAUUACUUUUAUAGACUACUUUGUGACCUGGGAUUAAGUGCUUAAGUCUGAAGACAGAAAAUAAAAAAGGAAAGGAAAAUGUGGCACAUCAGACAAUGCUGGACCAUGAUCAAUUAGCAUUCAGUUGAGUAUUGUCUUUUAAGUCACUUAGAGGUAAAGAGAGGAAAUAAACUGCUCAAAUAAAAACAAAUACAUAUUCUGAAAGCAGUCAGCUACUCUGGUGUGUGCUGAGGUCACAAAAUACAUAAAUGAAAGAAAUGGGGCAAAAUUUUAGGAUGUUAUAGAUCAAAGGAAAAUAGCCGAGAGUUUGAGAUGUAAGAUGAGGAGUAGGGAGGAUUUCCAAACAGUUUUUAAUAUGAAAUUAUUCUUAAUGGAACACUGGUAAGAAAAUAGACCAUCAUAACAACAAUUCAGCAUAAAUUUUCCUGUAGAUUUAGCCUUUGGAGAAGCUGUUCUGAAGAAAUGCAGGCAGCUUUUCUGGAGGAGCAAACCGGCUGAUCUGGCUUUACCAUAUUGCCAUCGACCGGAUGUGCAACACAGUAGGGAACUGAAUUAUGAAAAAUCCCUUUUGUAGUAUGAAUGUACGAAUCUGUACAUUUGGCUUGCUUUACAUCAGUAGGAUUAUGUUUUUGCCAAUACUAGAAACUACAUUAAAAGAAGGAAGAGAAUAUCAAUGAAUAAUAUAAGAAACUGGAAUUAGUUGCAUAUAGAUAGAGAAUAACAGAAAGCAAAUCUGUCACACAUAUUACAUACCUAGUUGCAUAUAAUGAAAUUUCUUGCUUAUAAUGACCUUGUAUUUUGAAAACACAGGUGAAUUAUAUAAAAUUACAAUACUGUGAUGCCCUUAAGUAUAGUUUUAGAAAAUUACAUGAAACAGCCAAACAAAAUAUUUGAAGUUAUCCACUUCUCUCUGGAGUACAUUAUAUAUGCUAAACCUAAUGUCUUAACUGCCAGAACUGGUAGUUCCUGUUUUGAGGUAAAGAGUUGCUUGAAGGCUUCUGCAAAAAGAGAUUCUGAAAAAUCUUACAGCAGAUAGAACAAGUCUGCUAAAUAAGUCUUCACAGACUUCUCUGUUCAUUGUGAUUGUAUUCGGUGCCCAUCACUCCUCCUUAAAUAAUCACUUGUUGAAGGAUUGCCUGUCUAUGUUUCCUGAGGAAGUGGGGGGACAUAGUUUUCAGGAGCUGCUGGAAGUAUGGGAAGGAGGAGAUAACUGCAUUCAGAAGUUUGGCUGAAGGGUGGAGGCUUUUCUAGAGAUUGAGACUGGGUGGCUCUGAGCAGGAGUGUAGUGCUGUGAGGAGUCCUUCAGCCUCUUUACUCAUUUAGCCUGUUAAGAGCACACUUAGGGAGAUUUUGCCCAUUGAUAGAUUAACUAGAUUACAAAGAACAACUACUGCAUUUCUGAAAUUCAUUAUGAAAGUACUCUAUGAAUAAACUAUAUGAAUAAUAAAAAGCCAACCCAAACUGUAGAAACCACUUCUGAGAAGAACUUUCACAUGUGAUUAUGGUAUAGUUGCACAGUCUGCGCAAGUGAAGUAGAGCAAAGAAAUGGAAAAUCUGGGCUAAAUGUCAUAAACUACUCUUUAGUUUAUCGCUUCUUCUCCCCCUCCCCUUGCCUCCCCCCUACCCCUGCCACCUUCUUUCUGAGGAAAUAAUUUGAAGAUUCCUGGAAUAAAUCAUCUGUGGUUAGAAAAAAUAUAAAGAGACUGGGAUCUCUAAUAGCAGGCAUUUGGGAGUAAAUGUGAAUACAGAUCGUUGCUGUAGAAUUGAUGUUAUUAUCUUAAAUCCUCUAUUUUACUUUUCUUGGUCCACAAUAUUUCUUCUUCAUUCACCCAAAACUCAUUGAAAAUAAUGCAAAAUAUGAUAUAUUUUUACCACAAACUAGUUGAGUAAUCAUCAAAAAGAGAUUCCUAGUAUGCUUCAACUACCAACAUCCUUCUAACUGUGUUUCAGCAGACAUUACCUAUUUUGAGACAAUAGAGAUAUGGGCUGAGAGUCAAAUCUCCCUUCUAUUAUGCUUGAUUCUCAAAGACAAACUUGAUUUAUGCCUGUCUGUCCGUCCAUCCAUCUGUCCGCUUAUUUAUUAAGAAUAUUAAAAUUUUUGUUUCAGCUGUUGAAUGUAAAACUAAGAAGAUAGACAAAAUCCUUGGUGUGUCCAGUUUAGACAAAAUCCUUGGUGUGUCCAGUUUUUUGAAGUAAAGGAGGAAAAAAAAAAGGAAAAGUUACUUACUUUGUAUGCAAAGAAAACUGUCUCUACUGAUUUCCAAAAAGAGUUAUUCAAGAGAUGUAGAAGUGCAUUUUGUUUCAAGGGUCUGUGGGGCCUACUGCUCUACAGUUCCAUAAAAUUUCGAGUAGUAUGGAUACUACCUAGUUUUACAGAUGAAGCAAAAUCAAAGAAUAUGCAUGCAAAAUUGCCAGAAUAAAAAUCAGUGAAUAAAAUUAUUUGAUCUCUGUGUUAAAAUAAAGUCUACAAAAGAAAAAUUAAUUUAAUUUUCAGGUGAAGGGGAAUCCAUAGGAGAACACAUGAGUGAAAAUGUUUUUGGAAAGCAAGAUUUAUAAGGCAUAUUUCAAAAAAGUUGUAUUUGUUUAGUCUAGAGAAGAGAAGACUGGGGAAAAUAGUAGGAUAUCUGAAGAUUAUUGUGAAGAAGAUGGUCACCAAUGGUCUUUUGUACCCAUUUGCAGAAGGACAAGAAAGAAAUAUCUUAAUUUACAGCCAAAAAGAACAGGCUACAUAUUUGGAGAACAGGCUACAUAUUUGGAAAGGCCUUUUUAAGUACAAGGACAGUUAAAGACUGGAACGAAGUUAUCUGGUGAUACUGCAGCAUCUUCCUCAUUGACAAUUUAGAACAGAUUAGACAAAAUGUUUCUGUCAUAAUAAUGCUCUUACAUCUAUUUUCUUCCAUUAUUGUUGGCUCCACACAAUAGAUAACCCAGAAUACUGAGUUGCAACUUGAAAAAUAAAUUUGGAAUGUGGAGAUAAAAUUGUAUCGUCUGAACACAUGAUCAAUCAUCAUAAAUGCAGACUUCUUUUUCUUCUCAUAGAUGUAUUCUUGAAUUUUGCAUGCCCUUGUGUAUUGUAAUUUUCACUUAUUUAAAUUUAAAGUUUAUUUAUGUAUAAAUUCUAUUUACAGAUCAUCAGUAAGGAUAAAGCAUGCUACCUGUUCAUGCAAGCAGUGCUAUCAUUCUGCUUGCACUGCUUGGUUUUCUGGUCAGGAAGCUAAUUUCAACAUUGCCAAUGCCCUUUUUUCUUGAAUUCUAACUCUCUCUAGCACACGCUCUUCAGGUAUGUAUAGCUUUGUAGGUACUACAGGGAAAUAUUCUGAAUUCAAAACAGAUGUAGUUUCUUUUAAGACACAUAUAGAUAACUAGGGUUUGCUACUUGACAGAAUAUCUGAAAAAGUCUGAUUCCUAAACAAAACCAGAACUUUGAUGGUGAAUUUUACUUUCUGUGGUUAACAGGCUAUUUUUACAGUGACAAAUAAAGUCUGUUAGUAAUAAAAAUGAAACCUAGUAUCUAUGCUGUGAUAAUGGAACCCUAAAGUGAAAUUAGUUAGUGAUAUUAAAAAGAAUCACUUGUAUUUCUGCUCCAAACCUCAAGUUAUUUUAUUUUCCUGUACUCAAAAACAGUAUUAAAGAAAAUGUAUGGUUCAUGUUACCAACAUUCAUAGCCUUGAUUAAAAUAGGAAUAAUCCAUGUAUAUGCUUUUGUUAGAGCAUAAAAUAUGUAACAUAAGAACAAGAAUAUUGAAGGAGUAAAGAUAAUUUGACUAUUCAGAAUACUGUCAGAAUUCAGUCUAUUCAGAAUACUGACUGUUCAUGUCUGUUCUCUCUUAGAAAUUCAACUUGAAGGAUGAUGAGAAAAGUAUUAAUAAUUAUUACUCUGUUGUACUCUGUUAGAUACUUGAGGACUUAUGUGUUUGUAUCAAACAGUAAUUAAAGUCUUCAAAUUAAAGUGUUCAUCUUCCAGUGGUUUUUCUUAUAUUGGUUCUGCAACAGGAAAGGCUGUGAACAUUUGCAAAUGGACAUUUUAUUCUACCUUCUUCCCUCAAAUUGUGUUAGAAAAGUUUCAAUUAUUAGAUGCAGCUGUAUUAAAAAUAUGAGUAUUGUACUCAUCAAAUAGCUUUCACUCAGCUAGCUAAGACCUCAGAGAGGAAAAAAGAAAAAUAGCACCCCUUCACUUUUGUGGCUCAUUUUAUCUUGUUCUCUUGAUAAGGAACCAAGGGGUUCCAGUACAACUUUUUUGUUUAAUACUGCACCUGAGCCAUUUAGAUUUACCUGGCUUUAGUUUAUGGUUUGUUAGUCGGUUUUUUGGUUCUUUCUUUCAGAAGUAGGAGGCAUCUAUGCUAUUUGAGAAUUAACUUAGAAAGAGAUCACCAAAGUCUUAAAACCUUUAUGAGACAAGCCCAUUUUGAAGAAAGAUUGUUGUCAGCUUGCAUAGAAUUAUUCAAAAAUAUGACUCACAUAACACUGCAUCUUUAUAUUAAUGCAGUUUAUGUAGAAGGAAAACAGAGUAGGCCAGAGAAGUUUUUAGAGGAACAUGUCUAGCAAAUAACUUUAGAAUGCUUAAGUUACAUUUUUUACAAGGAUAGGAAAAUAUAAUUCCUGGAUAGAAGUGAAUACUGCUUUUGAGAGGCCUCUGAAAGUUGUGUGACUUGACUUCUCAUGUAAGUCAGAAAUGUAAUUUCUGAUCCAAGGUGUUUCCUGAAGAGAGAAUAAUGGUUUUAAAUUGCAAGAUGCCUUAAUCAGUUAAACAAAUUGAGAAAAAAUGCUAAAGCUUCUUUUACUUUCAAUUGAAACCUACAGUUGUCUGGUUUUACUUGUAAGAACUUGCUUCUCAACAUGUAUAUUAAUUUAAGAAUUUUUGUAAUGGAACAUUCGCUUUUACAGUUUGAAGUUGCAAAUGCAAACUUUAUUUUUUAAGCUUUCCCAUGUAGUAUUUUAUUGAACACUUAAAAGAAAUGCUGACUAAAGAAAGUAUUUAUGUAACCAGAGGGGAUUUAAUAGGAGGAGAAAUUUAGUUUUCCUGCACGAGGUCCAGCGCAACUACUACAGAAAUCAAUUCCCAGCAAGAUGAAUGUAUCUAUCUUGAGUAACAUGAUACUCAGAAACAUACAGUUAAUAAUAUAUAGAUGGAUAUAACCCCCAUUUUGAAAGGUGCUAAUGAAAUUAUCAUUUAAUAAUUUUGAAAAUAUUACUUACAGAUUAAAUAUGGACAUCCAAAGCCAGAAUAAUUAAAGGGUGGUUAGGAAAUAAAAAUAUACAUUGUUUGAUUAAGUGAGGUAAAAAGCCACAUGCAAGGAAACUGGUAUGAUAUAAUAUUGAUUUAAGUUUGCAGAAGAAUAUAUGAUUGGAGUAGAAUUGUAGAACAUGGUGUGCAGUUAUUAUGAGUUAUUCUAUUUUAGCAGAUUUAAUUAUGUAAUGUAAUCCACUUUUUUAGCAUAACUGCAGUUGGACUGAAUGAAGUAGUAGAAACUGCACAUGAGAAAGAUAUAGGUUGGAAACUGCUAAUAUUUAGGAGUGUUAAGGGUUUUUCUGGCCAGUUUUGAGAAAUGAAUAAGAAAAUAUCAGAAUUAAGAAAAAUAUUUAUUUGAAGAACUAGAAAUUGCAUUUCUAUGCAGUUUUGGGCUCUUCAGACUAGUCGUGUGAGGUACAGCAACAGCAUAAAGAUAUAAUUACUUCAUUAAUUCAGUUUCUCUGUGUGUUAAUUUAUAUAACCCAGUUUUCCAUCUAAGUUGACUAAGUACAGACAGGUACUUUAAUUGCCCAGCUUUUAUAAAGAAUAUGAAUACAUUUUCUGGGAUGCUCUUGGAUGCUUCUUUGAGUGGUUGUGUAGAAGUGUUUCAUUGCUGGUGUCCUUGUGCCCCAUGAGUGCAAGGACAAGUUAUUUGAACAAAAAGGUCCAUUAAAUGAUAUCAGCAAAUACUUGAAGCAUCUUCAUGUCCACUGACCUCAAGGCAUUAAAUAGCCAUGUGAAUACAAACAUGGAUGAUUUAAUUAUUUCUAUGAUACCACAGAGAUGGAAAUCAUGCAGUACGUGUACUGAGUGAUUUACUUAACUUUAGUUGUAAUAGUAUAAUUAAUUUCAUACAAUAAAUUAAGUCCCCUAAUGACCAUUAGCAAAAUACAGUUUGAGUUAACAUACUAGAUAUACCUCUUUGUAUAUGGAUAAUGGAGUCAUAGGUUACUGGUGUUUAACAUUUCCCCUAACGUGAUUCUUCUGGGAGCAACAUAUCCCAUUGUAACAUUUCCUCUUUCUGAGAUGAAACAGAGAGCAGGGAAGGGAGGGAGGGAGGGGAGAAGAUUUCCCUUAAACAGAGAUUAAUUUAUUUCUAAAUUCUACAGGUAAAGGUAUAGUUAUGAUUAAAGACAUUGCCUCUUGUUCAGUGUCCUAAAAGCUGGGAUUCUGUUCUUCUGGGAUAUAUCCAUUAGCAGGAUCCACUUGUAUUGGCAGGGAAGUCUGACGGAGGCAAGAGGAACAGGAAUCUCAGUACAAGCUGCUGCCCAUGCAUGUAGAAGGGAUAAAAUACUCCUCAGUAAUAUGACAUGUCUUUGGUUCAUGUAUUUUAAAGUUCAGGUCCUGAAAAGACUCAUUUUAUUACUUGCAUACUCUCUGCAGGGACCUUGAUAGUGGCUGGCUUUGUGUUAAGUGCCUCAUGUAUUUAUAGCCCCAAUAGUAGUGAUUGUCUUUGUAUUUCAGCACGGUGUCAUACAUAGCGCUGAGUGACUUGUUGGCCUCGUGGCUUUCCUCUCUCAUUCUCUAACGAGCUGUCCAGCUUAUUAGAAACAACAAACACUAGAAACAGGGUGCCUUCUAUGACUGAUUGCAGAAGCAAAUGUACCAUUCCAAAUCAGUGACAGAACCUUCUGUCUCUACAGGAAGGGUGAGGGGGCUAGCAGUUCAGUGUCAACUAUCAAUGCCUCAGCAAUUUCACUUGCUAUUUCAAAUUCAGAUUGGAGUAGUAUCCAUAAUCUCCUAACCAAUCACUAAUCCUCAGGGAUUUUGAACUGCCAGCCUGCAAGAUGUCUAUUUUUACACAGGGAUCCAUGCAGCAGAGAAAAGCAGGAAAGAGAUUCCUCAUAGGAAUUCUGGAUUACAUUACAGAAUGCUACCCUUGAGUCUUUGUUGUGAACCAAAAAGGAAUUUUCUGAUGACUUGGUGAUCACCCUGCCUCCUCCCAGAAAAAAGUAGCUAUCACCAUAGCCUGCUUCAGAAGAUAAAGCAUUGAGGUGUAGUACCACAACAGAUCAUUGAUUCAGUUCACACAAGUCUAAAACUAUAUCAUGAACAAUUCUCAGACUUACAGAAACAUCAAUUUAAAUCAUUUUGUUAUGGUUUUACUGUUAGACAUCAUAUUAUCAAGAACUUUUUACUUCCCAGAGGAGAGAUUGUAGACAGCAACAGGUCAAUUAAAUCAGCCUCUAGGUCAUCUUUCAAGAUCAGUAAAAACCUCUCAGCAUUUAUAGUCUCUCCCAAAACAUUUUGUACUUGAGCUACAUUCUGAAAGCACAGCCUUGCAAUGACCUGGUACUUGCUGCAUCAGGUGUCUGGAGUACACAAAGGAGUCCUCUCCUCAUUAAACUUUGAAUGAAUUAUACUCAUUACAGUGUGGCUUUCUUAUCUUGAAGUACCAAGGGUCUGGGGGACAGAUAGAUCUAUUCAGAGACAGGGAUUUGCUCACAUUCAAAAUCUUUGUGAUGUUCAGGAGAUGCCUGCUCUCCAUAUAAAUAUUUCAGUCAGUACUCUCUGCCUUAAACAAUAAAUAAAUUUGGGGUGGUUUUUCAGGGACUUCCCAAACAAGUGCCAAGAGUCAACAUGAUAAUUAAUCAUAUGUUUUUGUCAACAAGCCAGUGAGGGGCAAGACCAUCCUCAGGAGCUUUUAUGUGACAUACAGCUCUAAGUUAAACCAGUCAGAACGAGGAAACAUUUGGGAUUAGUGCUGAAAACGUUCAGAGCCUUGCGCCUUUCUAACCUUCAGCAUAUCUAGCCAUCAUAGCAGGGAGUCAAUGGCACUGACCUGUCUUCCAGAGUCACAUUUUUCAAAUGGGGACUUUGAAAUGUGUGCUUGCUCAUAACAGACAAAAAUAGGUGUCCUGUUCUAACUAGAGGGAUGCUGAGAUCUCCUGACAAAAUGUUUUGUUUAGCUGUUUAUAACAUGGGCUUUGUGUGCCUUUUUUUAAAAUCUUUCUUUGUGUCUUGUGAAACUUUCAGUACAUUUUCUUUACCUGUUUAGCCAGACAUCCCCUUCCGAAAUAACAAUCAGAUCCUGCAGCCAAACCCGGUGUGAUUAUAGCUGAUAGACAGGGCGUUGCCUAAGUGAAAUCUGCUGACAGAAACUAUUUUGCAACAGUGCAGAUCAUUUUGUGUCAAAGAGAGUCACUUUAACUAGAGUUACUCACAAACCUGAAUGAAAAGACUUUCUGUUUGAGUAUCCUGGCAUGGUCAGUCUCCCUUAGCCUCUUCUACUUCAAGAGUACAGUACUGUUAAAUAAUUUUAACACUAAGUGGAGUUUAUAUAAUUUCUCUAAAAGUGCAUUUUUCGGUAAUAGCUGCUUAACUUCUUCUGUACAGUGAUACAAUAUACCUUAACUUGUAGUAAGAUUUAGGAAAGGCUUUUGUUUAUAUUUUUACCUCCCUAUGGAGACCUGUCUUACCUGUCUGUAUAAUUUUUUACUAAUAGAAACCGUGCUUUUCCCUCUGCCUGAGAAAUAUUUUUGUGUCUUGUAAAACACAUGGCAGGGAAAAUGGGAGAAUACUGCUGAGUUAAGAAUCUCCUACUGAAAUAAUAGGAAACUCUCACAAGCUUCUGUGGUUUUCAUUAUGAUGUUAACUGUGCCCACUUAAGGUCUACUCUAGAAACAAUGUCCUCCUUUAGAGGAGGCUUGAGCUACUUUAGCUUCAGUUUUCUUCUUCCAAUUUUAGAUAAAAUUUACAUUGAUUCCUUGAGCUUUAAUUAUUAGCAAGUAAUUUUCUUGGAAUAGGGCUGAUUUCUGUGCAGUGGCAAAUUUUCUUCCCUUUAUUUCCACUCCCCACUAUUCUUUUAGAUUCUGCUUGCAGAAAGACCAGCAGGGUUUUAAGAGCACAAUAUGCAUGACUGCAUCUUUUCCUCUAAUGCAUCUUCCCCAACAGUGGAAAAGAAUGGCUCUCUCAGAAUGUGCUCAUCUAGGCUUCCAGUUCCCCAGGAUCUUGGAAGGACUUCUUUGCAAUAGCAGCUUCAGCAUCUGCCACAGAUAGCAGGCAGGCUGGUGGUUGAUUGGCAGAGCUAAGAAGAGAUAGAGAUCCAGCCCUGGGGCAAUGCAGUCUUCUUCAGACACUGUAACUACAGCACCCCUCUAACAAACAGCAAAAUUUGCGUUUUGAAAACAGCUAUAAAUGUUUUAAAGUCACAAACAAAAAGGAUGGACAGGGAUCAACUUUUCACCUUCUCUAUCAAUAAAAAAUACGAGUGCAUCAGAGGACAGCAGUAGGUCGUUCAAAAUAAAUAAUACAAUAAAUUAUAUUACUUUAAAUGCUCAUGGGUAUUAUACUUGCAAUAUUUUUUUACUAAAGACAGUACAAAUUAAUGAAGUUCACAACAAUCUAAGGAAAGACUGCAUAAGGACCUGGAAGAGAGAUCUAGUGAAGGUCACUAACUGGACAAACCACAUCAGGUUCAGGAAACCUUCCAAGCUAAAACAAAUUUGGAUGCUGGAAUAUAUGGGCAUUAUCAUAUAUGCUUGUCCUGGUCCUGCUGUUCACUGAGGGAAUAUUUGGAUAAGAAUUGGCUUUUGUCAGCUGUCGGACAUGGGUAAAUGGGCCAAGUGUAUGCCCAGCCUGAACCAGUUUGACCUCUCUAGUAUUCUUAAAACAAAGUUUGUUUAUGAAUCGUGACCUACUCCCAAUCUUUGCAAAAAUGAAACAAAAUACUUUCAGGACUAUCCCUUCUUUGAAUUCAAUCAAGUAGAGUCAACCUUAGUCAUUCUUAUUCCAUUUUCUGCACCCUCAACUUCCCAAUUUGUAGUAUUUCAAAGAUUUUUAACAUGUUAAUGAAAUGCUUCUCCUGCUCCUUUUUUUCUUACCUAAUCUUGCCUUUCCUUAAAUCAAACUUUAUCCAACAUUCUCUCUCUAGAGACUUGUUGCUACUGUUGUAAUUCUGGGUAGUGACUUUUCUUGAUCCUUUUAGUGGCUUUCAGAGUCUUUUUAUUACAGAGAGGAGAUCUUUGAACCUGGCAAUGAAAAGAGCAAGAAAAAUAAAAGAAAAUCCAUGGGAUAGUGUUUAUUCCAUCACAGUAAUUUGGGAGGAGGAGGAAUUUCAUUCUCAUCCAUCUUACGUGAGUAGAUAGAAUCCACAGAUCUGUGAUACCAAGUCUGUAAGUCAUAUUCCAAAAUCCAGCAAGCCAGGAUCACAACUAUAGGAAAUUCUCAGGAAUAACUUUCCUUUCCCUUUAAACUUGGGAAAUUGUCCUAACAGUAGAUUUAUCCUUCUAAGUCACUUUGCAAGGACAAGGAAGGUUAAUGAUAAGUCUCUAUUUUUAGCAGAGAUUAAGAUGGUGAAUUCUUAUGUUCAGUUCCCUGGUUAGCCCGAAGUCUGUUCAGUUUUCAGUAGAUAGGCAUAGAUGCAGCCAUAGCUUGAGGAGGAGAAGAAUGGGUGGAGGAACAGGGAAGGAUCUAGAGCUCUUCAUAGCAUCCUUUCACCCUUUCCCUCCUGCUGCUGGUACAUCUGCACCUGAACAGCCAUGCAUUAAAGAAAAAGCCUAUCCUGUUUGGCCUCUUACUUCUAAUGCCUCAGGUAUUGAGGAGAUGGAGGCAAACCUCUGUGCCAGGGCUCUGUCUCUUUAACUUUGUAUGUGCACGAGCAGGCACAGUAGGGACCCAUGCUGGUUUGAACAUUUUAUAGUCUAAAUGGCUAUAAGAGAAAGGAGGGAAAUCACGUUUUCUGUUACUUGUGUGGUCUCCUGGAAUGAUUAAUAUGUGUUUAAUGAGUUAUCUGUGUAUGCUUUCUUUAAAUUAAAAGUUUAUUUUUCAAAUAAGACCAUUUAAAACUAAUUAUGAAAUUAGGGCAGCCAGUAUUAAGGGUAAAUUUACUAUAGUAUUUUAAAAUAACAAAGUAAAAAUACCAUGCCACACCUUUUUUUAUGCCAGAAUUUUAGAUAAAGUCAAACCACCGAAGGGGUGGACGUCACUGACAGAGCAUUUGGAAUUAUAACCUGCAGAAUGUGGAACCAGCUUCUGAUAGCUUUUCCUUUUCUCUUGUAAUGUACUCAUCUACUUUAUAUUAAUGACUAAUAUGUUCAAAAUUGAAAAAUCUACUGGGAGACGAAAAAGCAGGUAAUUCAUUUUUUUUCAUUAGGUCCAUGAAUGAAAUCUGAAAGAGGAUGAGAUGUACUACUUGUACAGUCUUGAAGGUCGUGCUAGCCAGAAACAACAGCCUAAGUUGCCCAACUAGCAGUGAUUCAUCCUUGUUGAAUAAAUCAGUUUUCAAUACAGUGCAUUCUGAUAAGUUUUUUGUUCUUACAUGUUGUGUACAGUUAUGACUAUUUAAUUUAACUGAGAAAAAGUUAAGGGCUCUUUUGCUACAUUUAAAUUUAAUUCCAUUUUCCCUACACACUUUUAUAAAUUAUAAUUGGAAGACAAAGUCAUGGUAAAGAGAAACCAUUACAUUUUCUAUCAUAAGUUGUAAAAAUUAAGAAUAAGAAGUCCCUUAUAUAAAUGAUUUAAAAAAAAUUGUGCAGGCAUCAAAUCACAUUCUAGAUAGCAAGAAGAAUAAUACUAUAUAAAGAGGAUAUAUUUAAUUGAAUAAGGGUCUUUAAAAUGAAAGGGGAAAAAAGGGAAAUAUAAAACUGGACCAAAAUAGACUGCGCAAGACAAGGCUAUUCUCUUUUCUGUUUUAAAAGGUAGCUAGAACUGGUAAUUGAACUCAGAGACACCAACCAAUUCACCCAGUCUGACGAUAACAUGCACUUGUAGUUCUGGGUCCUAAACAAACACAAUAUGGGCCUUGCCAGUGCUUUAGAAAGGCCUGGUUAAUAAUCAGUUGUCAGGAGUCGCCUCUGACCCGUGCGGGCCCUCCUUCCCUGGGAACAAAACCCCAGCAUCUGUUGCCUGUUUGAGCCAUGGCGGUGCGGGAGCUGAGCCCUUGUCACCGCGGCUCCCUCGGCUCCCUGGCUGCGUGCUGCGGGGAAACCUGCUUCUGCAGCUUGGCUUCAGAGCAAAUUAAAGAAAGCUGGGCAGCUGAGUUACUGAGAGCUGUCCCACUGUAAGGUAGAAGGAGAUGACCUGGGGUUAGAUGACCCUGACUAUCAAGUGUGUUGUCUUGACAAACAGUAAUUGCUUGACAAUUGCUCUAGGCUUGGGAAACAUACGUUAUCAUGUUCGUGCUGUAUCUACUGAUAGAGAUUGUUUUCAUUACACGUACUGGAUAUUUCUAACUCCACUGAAGCUACUGAUGUGUGAGAACAUAGAUAAGUUCAAACUAGAGGUCUGAAACUUGAAAGUCUUAAACUUGAAGUUACUCCUUUUAGCUAGAGGACGUCUGUCUUUAAUUCUUGAGUCUAUGUCCAGUAUGUCCAGCAUCCACAGUGGUCUUUCGAAUGCUGGGUUGGUUUUUCUUUGUUUUCUUUUGUUUUUUCAUUUUCUUUUGUUUUGUGGUUUGUUUGUUUUUUGGUUUGGGUUUUUUUUUGUUUUGUUUUGGUUUUGGUUUUGGUUUUUUUUUUUUUGAAUGCUGUCUUUGUUAGAGCUGGAGGAGUUUCAAUGAAAGAAUAUCUCAGUUUUGUGUUUGGUGAAUGCUAUUGUCAUAAUUAAUUCCCUGUAUAGGUUUCAGCAUUAAGGCUGUGGGACACAUUAGAGAGCAAUCUACACUCACGGCUCAGUAUAUAAGGCAUAUGCAGAACUUCAGCAUUAAUUACAUAUUUUAUACUUGGUAAGAAGAAGGUGUUUUUUUGGUCUGUACUGUAACAGAACUUCCUUUUGAACUACUGUCUACAGUUACUGUUUCCUCCCCUUUCGGCAGAAGUUUCACUGGUAAUAUAAAUGUGAGCCUCUUCCAGUUGAAAACAAUCUUACUUUAUUUGAAAUACAGUAUUCCUUUUUCUGAAAACUUGCUGAGUCUCUCCCUGAAAUAAUCUUAUCUUCUUAUGUUUUUCCUUACACCUUAACAUGUCUGCUUAAGUAUUGAGGAACUUCACAAGUACAAGAAAGGUUGUAGAGAAACACGCAAGAUCAUAGGAAAUUUUUGUGGGGCAUAGAUGCUAAAAUAAAAGAAAGGAAGGGUAGGAAGCAUGCAAUGUAUAGAACUCAUAGGAUCUCAAGUGGUUAGGGAGGUGUAUUAAAGAAAGGCAGCAGGAGUCUGCCAGGGGUCAGUACAUGGUCACUCAUGACCUCAGGGGCAUAGAGACGUAGAAUGCUUGUGACAUGAUUUGCAAGAGAAUGUGUGGGCUUUGAUUCACUCAUUUACACAGCAUCAGAAAGUAAAUAGGAGACUGAUUUCUUAUUUGAUGAAGACUUCAGUCAUCCAGAUCAGCUUCUUCCAUUAAACUUCUUAUCUUUCCUUCCAUUUUCAUGUGCUUCUUUCAUAUCUCCAGUGGGCUCUCCCUCUAUAGUGAUGACUCUUAUGCAUAAGGAAAGGACAGUUUUGCUAUUACUUGUAAAUUUGUUGUCAUAUGACACAACCUGUCAUUAUUUUCCUUCUUGAUUUCAAAUGAAAUAUCUCCCAGUGCUGUUGAAAUUGUGUAUUGCUUGCAACUACAAUUGUAGUACCUAGAUGUAAUAUACAGCUUUUUAUCUGUAGAGCUCAAGCUUCUUUUAAGCCUGGAAUGAGAUUUUGUUCCUUUAAAGCUCUCAGAGCUCAGGUAACAGUGGCUGAGGCAAGACUAAUUUAGGAUUUAUUCCUUCUCACUGUUAGGCCAUUUGACAGAUUGAUCCAGCUCUUCUAGCCCCUGAGUGCCACUGGCUCAGCCCAGCAUUUAUACAGUGCUUUGUGCAGACUCCUUCUCCCAGUGCAAAACUUGCCCUAUUCCAGCAGGAGGUGGCUUAUGGCUUCCUUCCACACUUCCUGCAGAAGGAUUCCUGGGUGACACAUGAGGCUUUUAGAGCCCUUUUCUCGUCAGGUCUUCACUUCUAAUGUGAAGAGAGUAGAAGACUGGUGAGAAUUUCAAUCACUGUAAUUUUGGGUUUCUUUUUUUAUGUGGAGGUAUGAUAUGGCAUGGGAACUCCCCUUAAGAGAGACCUUCAGAGUUGGGUUAGUCUCUAGACAUCUGUUCGGCAUUGCUAACUAGGUACCUUGCCUUUGAAACUGGGCGUUUUAUAUUUUGAAAAAGACAAAUGUACAGAUAAAAAAAUGUUGCUGAACACUUAUUUCAGAUCUUUGAUUUUUUUUUUUUACUUUAUUAACCCUGGUAUGCAUAGCACUGGUGCAUCCUGUAAGCAUUAUUUUAUCUCUUAGAUUCAGUGAGAUGUAGGACAGUUUUAACUGUCCCUGUCUUAGAAUGGAAAAGCUAUUGGUGAAAGUCUGACUCAAGGACAGGAUUAUGGUCCUUGUUUAGACUCCCAUUCCAAACGUUGGCCAAAGCACCAUCCAUCUUCCGCAUAGAUAUAGAUUUAACAUCAGCAGUGUGAUCUAACUUGAAGUGUCUGUAGGAACAGCAACCAGAAACCUGUGCUCAGACAGUAGGAUAAAAGACAGAGCAAUUCUAUUUUUUAAUGUGUUAAUCAAUCCUGUUUAUUUAACCAUAUUCAGAAAAUUAUAGUAAGUUGCUUAACUUCUCUUUUAAUUUAUUCACAGGUCUACUUUGCCUGUAGUGCUGAGCUAUUGUGAUAGUUUGAUUUUUGUGAUUUGCAUCAAGCAUGAAGCUUUCAAAGCCAUGUGUCGAAGAGGAAAUAGAGCAAAGAUACACCACAGCAGAGAAAGCUAGCAGGACAAAGGAGAUACUAUUGACUCAUUCCAGACUGCCGACUUAGCAGCUCAACUUUGUUUCCUUUUAACUUUUGUAACAGUAGGAGCUCAAAGCUUCUCAGUCUAUUUUCUGCGCAAAUAGAAACACCCAGACUUCAAAAAGUAAUAUGCUUUGAAGAACCCCAAACCAUUAACACAUUAAAAACUGUGCGUACUAUUAAACAAGACUUCGUGGUUACUUGAAUUUUGCACGAAGUAGAUGCUGGUGUUUUGGUAGUAAUUUUUACACUGCUGCAUUCUGGCAGACAAUUAUUGACAAAUAUCAAUUUGUAAAGCACUUUUUGUUGGUUUUAGUGCGAUACGGUUUUAUUGACUUUGCAGUGGGUAAGUACUGCUUCAACAUUUUCACAGGCUGAGUAAACCCCACAGACUCUUUUCCCCAGCUCAAUAGCAUAUUGCAACAAGUUUCUAACCCUGUAACAUUACACUUGUAACACUAGGGAAAGCAUAAGAGGUGUGAUAUUUAGAUUUUGUCCUCGGUACUGAAGCCUAUAUUCCUUUAAAAAAAAUUAUUGUCCAUUUUGGACAAUGGAGUGUCCAAAUCCAUCGAUAUGACAGCUGACGGCGUCCCGGUCCCAAAGUCCCAUCAGGACCGUGUUCCCCGGUAAGAGGCGGGCCCCGCGUUCCCGCUCGCUGCCGGAGGGAGCGGUGUCACUUCGCAGACACCCCGCGCUAGCAAAUACACCUCGCCUGUCUCCCGAGCCAUCCCUGCUACAGCGAGCGCUUAGAACGUCACAGAACGUCACGAAAUCAAACCGAUCGGCAUCGCGUAAGCCGAGAGUGUGAGUCGGGUUUAAGUUCAGAUGCGUGCAGCCCCGGGCUCGGCGGGGCCCUGCAGCCCCCGGUGCCGCGGGGGGCCGGGGCGGGCGGGGCGCCCGUGCUCUGCCGCGGCCUCGGGUGCCGCGCCCCCCCCCCGUUGGCGCGGCAGUCUGUCACUCAGGCGACGUCACAAUACGCCUGUGUGAGCGCUGUAAACACUCGGGCGGGCGUGUGCGUGUGUGUGAGUGACGCGGGGGCGCGCCUCCCCGCCCCCCGGCUCCCCCCCGCCGCCCCCAGGGUGGCACCGAGCCGGCCGGGGGGGCGUGAGGCGCGCCCCCGGUUGUUUCCCUGCGCGCAUGGUAGCGGCACGAAAGGUAGCAUCACUGGAGCAGGGGAUGAUGUAAUUCUCCCUCCGGCCAGUGACUGCCUGCGCUUGCACCGAUCCGACUUGCAAACCGGAGGGGGGUGGUUGUUUUACGCGUGAUCGUAUCAGCAUCUCCUGACGGCGCGCCCCCCCCACCCCCCAACGCCGCUUUAAACCCCUCUCCGCUCAUCCCUCCCCUCCCCGGGGCACGGAAGAGGGAUGGGGCUGGGGGAGGAGGGGAGCCCCGCGCCGUGUGUGCAGGGUAAACACGCCAGCGAGCGCCGCGCCGAGCGGUAAACAAGUCGGAGGUGCCCUCCGCCGCACGGCAACUUGCUGCGGGCGGGGUGUCCCCCCCGCACACACACACGCACGCACGCACACUCACUUCCCCCUAACAAAAGCCCGUUUAAUAUCAGCGUCAGCUUUUGUUCGGCGGGCGGCAGCAGCCGUCCCCUCUCUCGAUCACCUUAUUUCACCGGUCGGCCCCCCGGCCAAAUCCACGGAUCCCCCUCGCCCCGUCCCCCCUGCGAGCAUCCCCGCUCGCUCCGCGGCGCUGUCCCCUCACCGCCUCGAAGGCUCACCCCGCUUCCCCGGAGCUCCCGGUCCCUGCUGCCCGCUCUCUGGGGCAGCAGGCAGGUAGGCGAGCAGGCGCCCCCCCCCCCCCAGUCCCCGAAAAAGCAGUAGGCAAAUGGCACUUACUGUUAGA
Motacilla alba alba is the source of this 23019-nucleotide long non-coding RNA. RefSeq lists it as uncharacterized. The record is from RefSeq and is a predicted model, not a curated record. Lineage: Eukaryota; Metazoa; Chordata; Aves; Passeriformes; Motacillidae. The transcript has 10 exons.